AGGAUGAACGCUGGCGGUCUGCUUAACACAUGCAAGUCGAACGGAGUACCUCGGUACUUAGUGGCGGACGGGUGAGUAACGCGUGAGAAUCUGCCCUUAGGUCGGGGACAACCAUUGGAAACGAUGGCUAAUACCGGAUAAGCCGAGAGGUAAAAGAUUAAUUGCCUAGGGAAGAGCUCGCGUCUGAUUAGCUAGUUGGUGAGGUAAAGGCUCACCAAGGCAUCGAUCAGUAGCUGGUCUGAGAGGAUGAUCAGCCACACUGGGACUGAGACACGGCCCAGACUCCUACGGGAGGCAGCAGUGGGGAAUUUUCCGCAAUGGGCGAAAGCCUGACGGAGCAAGACCGCGUGAGGGAGGAAGGCUCUUGGGUUGUAAAGCUCUUUACCCGGGAUGAUAAUGACAGUACCGGGAGAAUAAGCUCCGGCUAACUCCGUGCCAGCAGCCGC
RNAcentral lists this ribosomal RNA (446 nucleotides) under uncultured bacterium. RNAcentral's name for it is "SSU rRNA". It matches the Rfam family "Bacterial small subunit ribosomal RNA", at positions 26 to 518 of the family's 1533-position model. The record is from RNAcentral.